This 298-nucleotide small nuclear RNA is filed under the name Jaculus jaculus (lesser Egyptian jerboa). RNAcentral describes it as "7SK RNA (ENSJJAG00000002834.1)". It matches the Rfam family "7SK RNA", at positions 1 to 273 of the family's 331-position model. From Rfam's summary of the family: 7SK was discovered as an abundant small nuclear RNA in the mid-70s but a possible function has only recently been suggested. Two independent studies have found that 7SK RNA binds the CDK9/cyclin T complex (known as elongation factor P-TEFb). Lineage: Eukaryota; Metazoa; Chordata; Mammalia; Rodentia; Dipodidae. The record is from RNAcentral.
AGAUUUGAGGGAGAUCUAGUUGCAACAUCUGUCACCCUAUUGAUUAAUAUGAUCUGGCCAGCUAGGCAGUAGUCCCCUUCUUCCCUCACCACUCCAUGUGGAUCCCUCCUGAAGCUGUGUGCUCAAAGAUGACAACCUUCUUCAAAUUAGUGGAGGACUGUCUUUGGUCAAGGGUGUACAAGUGGCUGUGCUUCCCUGAUAGAACCUACAAUCAAGCUCCCAAGUGAAUGGCUCCAAAUGAGACCUGCUGACAGCCUCAAUCCAGUGAAUCUCACACCAUGUUACAUGGUAGCUCAUC